Molecule: ribosomal RNA, 253 nt
Filed under: uncultured bacterium
Lineage: Bacteria
Description: partial 16S ribosomal RNA
Rfam family: Bacterial small subunit ribosomal RNA
Source: RNAcentral
UACGUAGGGUGCAAGCGUUGUCCGGAAUUAUUGGGCGUAAAGAGCUCGUAGGCGGUUUGUUGCGUCGGCUGUGAAAACCUGAGGCUCAACCUCAGGCCUGCAGUCGAUACGAGCAGACUAGAGUGUUGCAGGGGAGACUGGAAUUCCUGGUGUAGCGGUGAAAUGCGCAGAUAUCAGGAGGAACACCGGUGGCGAAGGCGGCUACCUGGACAGAUACUGACACUGAGGCGCGAGAGCGUGGGGAGCAAACAGG